RNAcentral lists this ribosomal RNA (425 nucleotides) under uncultured bacterium. RNAcentral describes it as "partial 16S ribosomal RNA". It matches the Rfam family "Bacterial small subunit ribosomal RNA", at positions 354 to 796 of the family's 1533-position model. The record is from RNAcentral.
GUGGGGAAUCUUGCGCAAUGGGCGAAAGCCUGACGCAGCCAUGCCGCGUGAAUGAUGAAGGUCUUAGGAUUGUAAAAUUCUUUCACCGGGGACGAUAAUGACGGUACCCGGAGAAGAAGCCCCGGCUAACUUCGUGCCAGCAGCCGCGGUAAUACGAAGGGGGCUAGCGUUGCUCGGAAUUACUGGGCGUAACGGGCGCGUAGGCGGACAGUUUAGUCAGAGGUGAAAGCCCAGGGCUCGACCUUGGAAUUGCCUUUGAUACUGGCUGUCUUGAGUACGGGAGAGGUGAUUGGAACUCCGAGUGUAGAGGUUAAAGUCGUAGAUAUUCGGAAGAACACCAGUGGCGAAGGCGACUCACUGGCCCGUUACUGACGCUGAGGCGCGAAAGCGUGGGGAGCAAACAGGAUUAGAAACCCCAGUAGUCC